ACGUAGGGUGCGAGCGUUAAUCGGAAUUAUUGGGCGUAAAGAGCACGUAGGCGGCCUUGCAAGUCAGUUGUGAAAGCCUUCCGCUUAACGGAAGAACGGCAUCUGAUACUACAGGGCUUGAGUACGGGAGGGGAGAGUGGAACUUCUGGUGGAGCGGUGAAAUGCGUAGAUAUCAGAAGGAACGCCGGCAGCGAAAGCGACUCUCUGGUCCGAAACUGACGCUGAGUGUGCGAAAGCUAGGGGAGCAAACGG
Molecule: ribosomal RNA, 252 nt
Filed under: uncultured prokaryote
Description: partial 16S ribosomal RNA
Rfam family: Bacterial small subunit ribosomal RNA
Source: RNAcentral